UGUAUUUAUGAGAUUUUAUAGCUGAGAAAGACUGCGUUGUGUUGGCCUACGUUUAAUGAACAUAGGCAACACAUGAAGACAAGGGCUGACCUAACCUGGAUUACACGUUUCGUGUUGUGCGUGUUGGUCAAUGAGAGUAGUAGGAGGAAUUAGGCAAUAAUAAAUCUGUGAAAUCAUCGUCGUGGUAGUUUACCUAGUGCCCGCCUACUUGCGCGGCUGAUUCAAAUUUGUAAUGAACAAGUUAUUCUCACGACAAUUUAGGGAAUCAUUUACAGAAGCUUUGAAUUAUUUCUGUACGAGAAAAAGAUCAUAUAUACUUUUAUAUUAAUAUCUCGUGCAACAAGCGAUUAUUUGGACUAAAGAGCAGUUUUUCAUAACCAGUGCAAAAUGGAACACCGUAAGAAAUUUAUAAGUACAAGUAAACAAGAUAGAAUGGCAAGGCGUUCAUGAUAACUGAACGGGAACCAAUACAUGAAAAGCAGCCAGCGUAAAACGCUUUCUCCUGAGUUAUUUUAUAUUCUGCUUUGAAGAGAUAGCUGUCCCAUGAUGUUUAUAAUGAGAUAUGAAGAACUGCCUAGGAGAAAAUCAGAGAUCACAGCAGGUUAUCAGCUGAAAUCUUGUGAACACUCCCUAUGGCUGCAACACCAUGCAAGGUGACCCUACACCAGUGGGGGCAAGAGACAACAGGAGAAAUGGAUCAUGAAAUAAAACUGUAACUGCAACCUGAGGCUGUUCUACUACUGCUACUACUACUACUACUACUACUACACCAUGAGGCUGUGUUCCACCCAUCUGCUAUGAUGCUUAUUGAAGAAUAUUUAUUUUUGUCUUGUAAUUUUAUGUGUGCUCAUGCACACUUCAUUUCAUAGUUUUGAUGGUUGUUCUGUGCAUGUUUCACCUCAAUUUACUCAAACCAUUUGUUUCAUGCAAUAUAUGUUAUUAUUUCAACUAUAAUGUAGUGUUCUCUCAUUGUUCUGUCUUCGAUAAUAAUGCAGUGGCGUUAAGGUAUUUUAGAAUCUUGGACUAUACUCUCUAAUUGAUGUUCUAGCUUGUGUACCUGUGACUUAUUCUUUUCUGUAUCUUUGAAAUUUUAACCAUAUUGCCAGUUAUUCAUUUCAUGUUGUCCAUUAAGACUGUGUUUA
This is a long non-coding RNA of Schistocerca piceifrons (Central American locust), 1142 nucleotides long. RefSeq lists it as uncharacterized. NCBI's taxonomy places the organism in Eukaryota, Metazoa, Arthropoda, Insecta, Orthoptera, Acrididae. The record is from RefSeq and is a predicted model, not a curated record. The transcript has 3 exons.